UUGGGGUUCAUUGGACUCGGAUUUGGGGUUCCCCAUUGGAAUUUUGGGGUUCACUGGACUCGGAUUCUGGGGUUCCCUGGACUCGGAAUUUUGGGGUUUCCCAUUGGAUUUUUGGGCUUCGUUGGACUCAGAAUUUUGGGGUUCAUUUGACUUGGAAUUUUGGGGUUCCCUGGACUCAAAUCUUGGGGUUCCCCAUUGGAUUUUUGGGGUUUCCUGAACUCGGAAUUUUGGGGUUCAUUGGACUCGGAAUUUUGGGGUUCCCCACUGGAUUUUUGGGCUUCUCUGGACUCAGAAUUUUGGGGUUUAUUGGACUCGGAUUUGGGUUUCCCCAUUGGAUUUUUGGGGUUCCCCCCAUUGGAUUUUUUGGG
RNAcentral lists this long non-coding RNA (368 nucleotides) under Zonotrichia albicollis (white-throated sparrow). RNAcentral's name for it is "lncRNA (ENSZALG00000001477.1)". Lineage: Eukaryota; Metazoa; Chordata; Aves; Passeriformes; Passerellidae. The record is from RNAcentral.